Molecule: long non-coding RNA, 740 nt
Organism: Bubalus bubalis (water buffalo)
Lineage: Eukaryota; Metazoa; Chordata; Mammalia; Artiodactyla; Bovidae
Exons: 3
Source: RefSeq, a predicted model, not a curated record
CAGCGUGAGGCCACAGAAGGUGGAGAAAAGUUGUGGGUUCCCGGCGCCGACAGCCUCCAGGGCCAAAGCCGCCGGGACUAGGACCACUCAGCAGGGAUCCGGCUUGACCUUCGGAGAACCAGCCGGACCCGCCCAAUUCGGCUGCCCAUGUCGAUUCGGGGUCAGGGGAAGCCUCUGGCCGGCGGCAUGAACCCGAGGGCUGCAGGAUGCGCUCCAAACACAGGGCCCCGGGGCUGUGCGGGGUGCACUGCAGGACAGAGCUGUCAAAGACCGUGGAGGUCACUGACAUCUUACAAAGAUUGUUCUCACCAUGAAUUCUCUUCCUGUGAUGUGUCUCAUCCUCAGAGCAGAGAUUGCCUUCCUGGAAGAAGCCACAGUGUUUUCUGAGAAGCUCAAGUUCACAAUCCACAGAGUUAUAGAAUGAGAUGAAGCAGUACUAAUGAGCUUCCAUAGAAGGCAUCAGAAUUUUCUUCUGAACCAAAGAAGACUUGUCUGUCAGCAUAAGUCAGCAGAGGACCUCCAUGGCAGCUGCAAUCGAGAUGGAAAUUCUGAACUGGGAGUUCUCUGACCCUCCAAGCUACUGUCUAAGCCCCUGAGGAAGUGAUGUGGACAGCAAGUGACCUGAGAAAGAGAAGAGAGAGGACAGUGCAGUCCAUGUGGAAAACCAGAGGAGCCUUCCUGGAGGAGGAGGCUUGGGGUGAUAAGGGAGGAUUGGCUUGAUGAAUAUAAGCUGGUGAAGG